AGGAUUGUUCCAGAUUGGACUAAGUCCGCAUGGGAUAGGUGAAGACCCAGACGUUUUGAGAAAUUCCCACCAGGCUGCCAGGGAAGUGCUUAUGUAAAUGCUUUUAAAGCAGGUGCACAUUUAAAAGAGGCUAUCAGUCAUGGAUUAUAUGGCUGGUUUGUGGGGAGCUGGCUCAGGAAUAUCACUGGAGGGAAGGACUGAUAAUCGAGGGCUAAGAUGGUUAAAGCGGCAUUAGGGUGAAGAGAGUUCCAUUCUGACUGGAGGGAUAAUCUAGAGGAUCGGGAGAAACCCAGUAGGGCUCUGAUUUUUCAGGCUGAAGGCUGAGCUAAUAAAGUUAAGCACUUUUAAACACGGACUCCGUUGAAGUCCAUAUCAAGGCAUCAGUAGGAAAAUCAAAAAUGGCACCUGGUACAUCCUAACUUGACUGAGAGCUAAGAAUAUAAAGAAACAAACAAGAGACU
Long non-coding RNA from Perca flavescens (yellow perch), 461 nucleotides. RefSeq lists it as uncharacterized. NCBI's taxonomy places the organism in Eukaryota, Metazoa, Chordata, Actinopteri, Perciformes, Percidae. The transcript has 4 exons. The record is from RefSeq and is a predicted model, not a curated record.